GUUGCUUUGGCCGAGUGGUUAAGGCCUGUGCCUGCUAAGUACAUGGGGUUUCCCGGCGACAGUUUGAGUCUCUCAAUCAACG
Molecule: non-coding RNA, 82 nt
Organism: Ipomoea nil (Japanese morning glory)
Lineage: Eukaryota; Viridiplantae; Streptophyta; Magnoliopsida; Solanales; Convolvulaceae
Source: Rfam